AAGGCCUUAGCUUAAUUAAAGUGUCUGGGUUGCAGUCAGGAGAUGUAGGUUAGAGUUCUACAGGCUUUAU
RNAcentral lists this transfer RNA (70 nucleotides) under Gonatodes albogularis (yellow-headed gecko). RNAcentral's name for it is "tRNA-Ala". It matches the Rfam family "tRNA". Rfam says of the family: Transfer RNA (tRNA) molecules are approximately 80 nucleotides in length. Their secondary structure includes four short double-helical elements and three loops (D, anti-codon, and T loops). The record is from RNAcentral. Lineage: Eukaryota; Metazoa; Chordata; Lepidosauria; Squamata; Sphaerodactylidae.